Small nuclear RNA from Sorex fumeus (smoky shrew), 108 nucleotides. The record is from RefSeq and is a predicted model, not a curated record. NCBI's taxonomy places the organism in Eukaryota, Metazoa, Chordata, Mammalia, Eulipotyphla, Soricidae.
GUGCUCAUUUCAGCAGCACAUAUACAUAAAAUUGGAACUAUACAGAGAAGACUAGCAUGGUCGCUGCGCAAGGAUGACACGCAAAUUCGUGAAACAUUCCACAAGAUU